This 362-nucleotide ribosomal RNA is filed under the name uncultured Rhodocyclaceae bacterium. RNAcentral describes it as "bacterial SSU rRNA". It matches the Rfam family "Bacterial small subunit ribosomal RNA", at positions 1019 to 1382 of the family's 1533-position model. Lineage: Bacteria; Pseudomonadati; Pseudomonadota; Betaproteobacteria; Rhodocyclales; Rhodocyclaceae. The record is from RNAcentral.
AGAAGAGACCGGAACACAGGUGCUGCAUGGCUGUCGUCAGCUCGUGUCGUGAGAUGUUGGGUUAAGUCCCGCAACGAGCGCAACCCUUGUCAUUAGUUGCCAUCAUUUGGUUGGGCACUCUAAUGAGACUGCCGGUGACAAACCGGAGGAAGGUGGGGAUGACGUCAAGUCCUCAUGGCCCUUAUGGGUAGGGCUUCACACGUCAUACAAUGGUCGGUACAGAGGGUUGCCAACCCGCGAGGGGGAGCUAAUCCCACAAAGCCGAUCGUAGUCCGGAUCGCAGUCUGCAACUCGACUGCGUGAAGUCGGAAUCGCUAGUAAUCGUGGAUCAGCAUGUCACGGUGAAUACGUUCCCGGGUCUU